AGAGAGAAGCCUUGGGUCCCACUGGUCCGAGCUCUGCGUGCUGAAUCUAGAAGCUGCAGUCUCUAAGCCGAAACUAGCCCAGGCCUCACAGCCGCCUUCCCGCCGGUCUCCCACUGCCUUGGCGGGGCGCUGGCGCCCUCUGCUGGCCAAGUCUCGCUCUGCGCGCAAACGCCCCGGAAAUCAGCCGGAAGUUCCCUGGGGCCCCACAGGAGUGAGGACCCACCUGGAUUCACUUUGUCAUUUUUUAGCUGCAUGACCUUAAGAAAGCUAAUGAACCUCAGAGCACUACCUGUGAAGUGGAAAUAAUAGCGCCUACACUUCAGGGUCGGUGUAAGGAUUGCAUAGAAUACCGUAUAGAAAGCACCCAGCACAUUGUAGGUAUGUUUAAUGGUAGCGAUUAUUAAUAAUGCCCAACUCACAUGGUGAGAUGAGAUCUGAGAAGCCUCCUUAUAAAGGUGAUCCAGAAUUACUCCCGAACUCUACCAGCUGAAAUCCUCCUCAACUCACAUCAGACAAGAUGGCCCUGCCACUUACCUGUCAGAUCACUUUGGGCAGUUUACAGGAGAGAAGAUGCAGCCUGGGAGAGAUGUAGCAGGUGUCUGAGGCCACACAGCAAGUCACCCAGGGCCAGGAUCUGAAGCUGGGUCUCUCCAGCUCCACUGCCUGGGCACUUUCUCCUCCACAGCGACCUUCAGGUCAUCAUGAGGAGCCUUUCAGACUAAAGCUAGAGAGCUGGGAUUCCAACAGUUCAGCAACCCAUGACUUCUCCAUGGCAGCUGCUGCCUGACCACCUAGUGCCUUUCCACUAAGAUUGUUCCUUCCCUCUCCUGAAGAUUAUCCUCCUGCCCCUCUCUCCCAAACAUCUGCGGUGUGCACCUGCUGCCCAAAGUUGAACUUUUUUUUGUUAGAGACAGGGCCUCACUGUGUCAUCCAGGCUGGAGUGCAGUGGCGUGAUCAUAGCUCACUGCAGCCUCCAACUCCUGGGCUCAAGUGACCCUCUCACCUCAGCUUCCUGAGUAGCUGGGACUACAGGCAUGCACCACCACACCUGGCUAAUUUUUAAAUUUUUUGCAGAGACAGGGUCUAGCUAUGUUGCCCACCCUGGUCUUGAACUCCUGGGCUCAAGCAGUCUGUCUGCCUUGGUCUCCCAGUGCGCUGGGAUUGCAGGCAUGAAUCACCAUGCCCGGUCCUCCAAAGUUGAACUUUUGAGACUCAGUUUCCUUCUUGGUAAAUUCAGGCUCCUAGGUGCUACCUCCUCAGAGACAUCCUCCUUGACCACAUCACAUGACCUCUCACAGAGGCCAGAUUCUUUAAUGUAUUCAUUUGUCUAUUAUCAUGUUUCCCCACUAGAAGUUGCACAAACGGCAGGGGCUUCAUCUGUUUUGUUUGCCGUUAUGUCCUUAGCACCUAAAAUUGUGCCUGGCACAUAUAGUACUCAGUAUGUAUUUGCUGGGUCAAUGAGUGAGUGAAUUUAUACUAAUAACAGCAGCUACUAUUUCUAGAGUGUUUACCAUAUGUUGGGCACUGUGUCAAUCUUCCCAACAACCCACAGACGAAGAUCAAUUAUUACACCCAUUGUACAGAUCAGGAAACUGAGUCAGGUUAAGAAACUUGCCCUAAAUCCUACAGUCUCACUUGGAACUUCUGACUGCAGUGCUCAUCAGAAUGCAUUGUCAACCCAAAGGUCAUUUCCAGCUUAGGUGGCUUCUAUCAACAGAGCUCAUCCUGGCCUUCCCAAGAGCCAGACCUCCGACAUCGGUGGAGCCCUGUGCAUAGCUGGCCUCUCCUGGGCGUCUUGUCCCAAGUACAGAGACCUGGAUCCUUUCCCACUCAUGUGCAACAGCCCAAAAUUAAAAACAAAAGCCAUAUUAAAAAACAAAACCAA
Molecule: long non-coding RNA, 1885 nt
Organism: Gorilla gorilla gorilla (western lowland gorilla)
Lineage: Eukaryota; Metazoa; Chordata; Mammalia; Primates; Hominidae
Exons: 3
Source: RefSeq, a predicted model, not a curated record